RNAcentral lists this ribosomal RNA (478 nucleotides) under uncultured bacterium. RNAcentral describes it as "partial 16S ribosomal RNA". It matches the Rfam family "Bacterial small subunit ribosomal RNA", at positions 28 to 523 of the family's 1533-position model. The record is from RNAcentral.
GACGAACGCUGGCGGCGUGCUUAACACAUGCAAGUCGAACGAUAAGGCCCUUCGGGGUACACGAGUGGCGAACGGGUGAGUAACACGUGGGUGAUCUGCCCUGCACUUCGGGAUAAGCCUGGGAAACUGGGUCUAAUACCGGAUAGGACCCUGGGAUGCAUGUCCUGGGGUGGAAAGCUUUUGCGGUGUGGGAUGGGCCCGUGGCCUAUCAGCUUGUUGGUGGGGUGAUGGCCUACCAAGGCGACGACGGGUAGCCAGCCGGAGAGGGUGACCGGCCACACUGGGACUGAGAUACGGCCCAGACUCCUACGGGAGGCAGCAGUGGGGAAUAUUGCACAAUGGGCGCAAGCCUGAUGCAGCGACGCCGCGUGAGGGAUGACGGCCUUCGGGUUGUAAACUUCUUUCAGCACCGACGAAGCGCAAGUGACGGUAGGUGCAGAAGAAGGACCGGCCAACUACGUGCCAGCAGCCGCCGUAA